UACGGGGGGAGCAAGCGUUGUUCGGAUUUACUGGGCGUAAAGGGCGCGUAGGCGGUCGUGACAAGUCACUUGUGAAAUCUCCGGGCUUAACUCGGAACGGUCAAGUGAUACUGUCGGACUAGAGUACAGAAGGGGCAACUGGAAUUCUCGGUGUAGCGGUGAAAUGCGUAGAUAUCGAGAGGAACACCUGCGGCGAAGGCGGGUUGCUGGGCUGAUACUGACGCUGAGGCGCGGAAAGCCCAGGGGAGCGAACGGG
This 256-nucleotide ribosomal RNA is filed under the name uncultured bacterium. RNAcentral's name for it is "partial 16S ribosomal RNA". It matches the Rfam family "Bacterial small subunit ribosomal RNA", at positions 524 to 776 of the family's 1533-position model. The record is from RNAcentral.